GGCGGCAGCCUAUACAUGCAAGUCGAGCGAACUGAUUAGAAGCUUGCUUCUAUGACGUUAGCGGCGGACGGGUGAGUAACACGUGGGCAACCUGCCUGUAAGACUGGGAUAACUUCGGGAAACCGAAGCUAAUACCGGAUAGGAUCUUCUCCUUCAUGGGAGAUGAUUGAAAGAUGGUUUCGGCUAUCACUUACAGAUGGGCCCGCGGUGCAUUAGCUAGUUGGUGAGGUAACGGCUCACCAAGGCAACGAUGCAUAGCCGACCUGAGAGGGUGAUCGGCCACACUGGGACUGAGACACGGCCCAGACUCCUACGGGAGGCAGCAGUAGGGAAUCUUCCGCAAUGGACGAAAGUCUGACGGAGCAACGCCGCGUGAGUGAUGAAGGCUUUCGGGUCGUAAAACUCUGUUGUUAGGGAAGAACAAGUACAAGAGUAACUGCUUGUACCUUGACGGUACCUAACCAGAAAGCCACGGCUAACUACGUGCCAGCAGCCGCGGUAAUACGUAGGUGGCAAGCGUUAUCCGGAAUUAUUGGGCGUAAAGCGCGCGCAGGCGGUUUCUUAAGUCUGAUGUGAAAGCCCACGGCUCAACCGUGGAGGGUCAUUGGAAACUGGGGAACUUGAGUGCAGAAGAGAAAAGCGGAAUUCCACGUGUAGCGGUGAAAUGCGUAGAGAUGUGGAGGAACACCAGUGGCGAAGGCGGCUUUUUGGUCUGUAACUGACGCUGAGGCGCGAAAGCGUGGGGAGCACACAGGAUUAUAUACCCUGGUAGUCCACGCCGUAAACGAUGAGUGCUAAGUGUUAGAGGGUCUCCGCCCUUUUAGUGCUGCAGCUAACGCAUUAUGCACUCCGCCUGGGGGAGUACGGUCGCAAGACUGAAACUCAAAAGAAUUGACGGCCGCCCGCCACAAGCUGUGGAGCAUGUGGUUUAUUACAAUGCAACGCGAAGACAUACCAGGUCGUGACAUGCUCUGACACUCUAGAGAUAGAGCGUUCCCUCCGGGGACAGAAUGACAGUGCUGCAUGUUGUCGUCUGCUCGUGUCGUGAGAUGUUGGGUUAGGUC
RNAcentral lists this ribosomal RNA (1064 nucleotides) under Priestia megaterium. Its description in RNAcentral is "bacterial SSU rRNA". It matches the Rfam family "Bacterial small subunit ribosomal RNA", at positions 38 to 1086 of the family's 1533-position model. Lineage: Bacteria; Bacillati; Bacillota; Bacilli; Caryophanales; Bacillaceae. The record is from RNAcentral.